RNAcentral lists this ribosomal RNA (376 nucleotides) under uncultured bacterium. Its description in RNAcentral is "bacterial SSU rRNA". It matches the Rfam family "Bacterial small subunit ribosomal RNA", at positions 524 to 898 of the family's 1533-position model. The record is from RNAcentral.
UACGAAGGGUGCAAGCGUUACUCGGAAUUACUGGGCGUAAAGCGUGCGUAGGUGGUUGUUUAAGUCUGUCGUGAAAGCCCUGGGCUCAACCUGGGAAUGGCGAUGGAAACUGGGCGACUAGAGUGUGGCAGAGGGUAGUGGAAUUCCUGGUGUAGCAGUGAAAUGCGUAGAGAUCAGGAGGAACAUCCGUGGCGAAGGCGACUGCCUGGGCCAACACUGACACUGAGGCACGAAAGCGUGGGGAGCAAACAGGAUUAGAUACCCUGGUAGUCCACGCCCUAAACGAUGCGAACUGGAUGUUGGGUGCAAUUUGGCACGCAGUAUCGAAGCUAACGCGUUAAGUUCGCCGCCUGGGGAGUACGGUCGCAAGACUGAA